UUUAAUGUUUGAAGGGGAAAACUUUCCGUGUUAUUAUUGUAUUUACUUCAUCGCUUAACUGCAGUGAUCUUCAUUAAGUAGUAAAAUGACUCUGGACUCUGAACUGGAUCGUUUGAACACUUUCAUGAACGAGCGCUUGAUAGAUGCUGUGAAGGAGAUCAUCCUCACUGUCGCCAGGACGGUGCGCGAUUAUAAAGAGGAAACGGAGCGAGUCCGAAGCGAAAAUAAACGGCUAAAAGAAAUGUUACGGGACUCAGGAUGCUUCCCUGAACAAACAAAUCCUGGUAUGGUUGUUUAAAGCUCUCCAGGCUUGUCAGCCUGUUUCUCCUGGGCAGCUCGCGUGGAUUCCCAGACAGAAAGAGGAUCCAGAAUCCCUUAAAGAGAUCCAACAGAACCAGAGACAGAGCGAACAAUGCCCGCACAUUAAACUAGAAGAGUCUGUUUACUCUGACGACACUUGGCAAGAACCUGCAGACUCACCAUCAAACGUCAACGACAACACGGAUUCACUCUUAUGUGUGUCUGAGACAAAUCCUGCUGAUGAUGAAGUAACAGACUUGCCAACCAAAAUCAAAGAUGAAUUCCAAAACCCAAACUUUUCAGGCAAUGAGGAUGAAUUUCAGAGUUGGUCACCACAUGAUCUAGACCUCUCUUUAAGCACAGCAAACCUCUCCAGAUCACAACACCAAUAUCAACCUACAUACACUACCAAUAAAUCUCCUUCCACUUUAUUGAAGCACAGCAGUUUAUCUAGUAAUGUCCAUCAGAUUUCAAAUCACAAAAUAUUAUGUACCAAUACCUGCAAAUGUCACAGUAAAUGCUGUGAAUUGCAAAAGAAGAGAAUAGCCAAAUUGAGCCCUGUAUGGAAGUAUUUCUCUUUAAAAGAUGGAGACUGUAGCAAAGCAGUGUGCCUUAUGUGUAAAACCGUCAUAUCCCGUGGUCGCAAAGAGUACACCACAACAGCCCUUCUAAGGCACAUUCGCGUAAAACAUGGUAAAUGUUGACAUUAUCAUUUGUCAUCCAAGAAUUUAUUUGCAAUGUAUUCAGAAGGAAGUCAAGCACGUUGUCUUUGUACUCCUAAUGCUCAGUGCAUUUAAGUUAUGUUUUGAGACGAUAUGGACGGUUCACCAAGUCCUUCCAAAGGUUUUGAUGACUCCCAAAUUCUGAAUCCACAAAUGCCUCACAAAAAACUGAUGUUGGGGAUGGCUCCACGUGUCAAAAUAAUGUGAAACACCUGAGUCGAGAUUAGCUGAUCAGGCACCUCUGUCGAGGCACAUGCAAGAUCAGGCUGACAUGAACAAUGACACUAGCGAUGAUGGACCAAAUACAGGAUCACUAAGGUAUGCAUGUAGUAUAUACUAAUAUUUAAUUAGGAUUAAAAAGUAAAUCUGUGAUUUGAUAAAAGGG
RNA transcript from Paramisgurnus dabryanus, 1407 nucleotides. RefSeq lists it as uncharacterized. The record is from RefSeq and is a predicted model, not a curated record. Lineage: Eukaryota; Metazoa; Chordata; Actinopteri; Cypriniformes; Cobitidae.